AAAGACUACUUAGAAUUUGAAAUAUUGUAUUAUAAUGAAAUACCUCUUUAAAUAUAUCAGCCUUGGAAAAUGCAAGUUAGCCAACAGUUUCCACUUCAAAAUACAUUUCCUUUUUAAGGUCCUUCAAAACACUGUUCAGUUAUCACACUAACACUUUAGAUCAACUGCCUAAUACCAAAAAUAGAUUCAGAUUAGGUAUCACAUCCUCAGCACACUGGUGUUCCUUAGUUCUAAGACUGUUUUUGAUAGAGUAGGGUAUGCAAUUUUACACUGUUGAAAUAUUACACUUAGUGCUACAUGAACAUGGAAGUGUACAGGUUUCAUUGUAGCAGCACUGUUUAAUUACAUAAAGGAGGACGGCACUUCUCACUCAAAACCUCAGAAUUCCAAGAUCUGAUCAUAGUCUGCAGGAGCACUGCCAGCCAUCCUGGCACAGGUUUGGAAGGAGAUCAGAAGAGAGGACAGUAACAGACUACAGAUGUGAGUCUCUUCCAGUUACUACCAUCAGAUGUAGAUGUAUGACUAAGAGGUGUCACACUAUGAUCACAGGGUGUGUUCUCUUGACAAAUUCAAGAAGUGGCACCCUUGGAUCCCACUUUAAGGUCAAACAAGGCUAUGCUUUGUGUAAGACCACAACAGCAUGUGACACUGCAGUAGCCACCUCCCUACUGUGGUAGGCAAACUACUCCCUCUCUGCCCCUCCACGUCACUCCCUCUCGUUCUUAAUUCAUCUGAAGAGCAGAAGUUACCUACCCCCACACAUCAUGCUCACCUGCCCAUCUCUGAGGACUUGUAGUCACCCUUCCUGUGUCAUGUCUGAUUCACACCUCAAGGCAAUAAACUACUCUUUUUGAAU
Molecule: non-coding RNA, 856 nt
Organism: Zonotrichia albicollis (white-throated sparrow)
Lineage: Eukaryota; Metazoa; Chordata; Aves; Passeriformes; Passerellidae
Source: RefSeq, a predicted model, not a curated record